Molecule: long non-coding RNA, 732 nt
Filed under: Homo sapiens (human)
Lineage: Eukaryota; Metazoa; Chordata; Mammalia; Primates; Hominidae
Description: HSALNT0143576
Source: RNAcentral
AAGAAUCCCAUUUGUAAAGAGGAUAGCAGGUUAAUGAAAAGAAGCAGAGGUAUGCGUAGGUGAUAGUGUUUCUACAAGGCUCGGUUCAAUUGGUAUGAUUUAAAGGCAAGCCUUGGCUGGCUGGUCAUAAUAAGGGCCACAUAAUGGAGGGGAUUUACGUGGCAAUUACCAUGGUCCUUGCUAGUGGGAUACAAUGUUUUAGGGCUCCCUGGAUACUUAAGAUUAAUGUCUGAAUCAGUAGUGUUAUUGUUGCAAGAUCUUAGUGUGAUGGGAGCCAUGUGAGGCACGAAUUUUUAUCCCUUAUCAGAAUGUAAAAUAUCUCAUAGUCUGCAAGAACACCAGUGACUAUGGCCUGAAGUUGCCCUAAGACAGUUUAAACAUCCUGUUGAUUGUUUUGUUUUUUUUUUCCUUUUCCUUGGCAACCAGAAUGCAUGAAUGAGUCUAGCGUUACUUUUGUUCAUCCAGGUAAUAUGAUUGAAAUGGGAAUUAUACAUGUUCAAUCAUUUAGAGAAGAAGGACUAAAAAUCAUAGACCUAUAGCAAAUUAAAUGAUUAUAGAGAAUCUACCAUGUAAAUGACUGCAAUUAAGGACUUCUUCAUGUACCCCGGGCCAGAUUCACAGCAUCUGGGACAAACUCUCCAUGGUUUUUCCCUCGGUGUAUUUAUUAAGAAUGAUGAUCCUGAACUUCAAGGAGACUUGGGGAAUUUUUGGAUUCCUGCCAGGUAUGUACCU